UAUAACAAAUUAUUUUUUGAGUAAUUUAUUGAUGUUUUUUUUUUUCCAACUUUGUCCUAAAAACACGCAACUGUCUCAUGCAACCUUUCCUCUCUGUGAAAGAUCUGAAGACGGAGUCAGCGCGAGAAAGAGAGAGGGAUGGGUCUGUUCUCCAACAGGAUCGAUGAGGCGAGUCUGAAACCCGGGGAUCAUAUCUACUCGUGGAGAGCUGCUUACAUCUACGCCCAUCACGGUCUUCACUCUUCUCCGAUUCUUUCUUCUGCUCCUUUCCCCCUUUCCAAUGUUCAAUCUUUCUUAGACCCUUUUGCUGUUUUCACUGAAAAUCGCGUGAUAGAUGUCAAGUUUUGGUGUUUGUGUUGUGAUCGAUCUAGGCUUAUGAUCGGAUCGCGAGAGUUGAAGGGUUUCUGGGAAUUUCGGUUGACGGAUUAGGGCAUAAACUUCAUGAGUGAGAUCGCGUCUGCAUAUCAUCAGUGAAACGGGAGUGUGAAACGUUGUCAAUCCAUCUCACUUGCAAGUAGCGAGACUGAAUCAUCUGUUUGAUGGGUUUACUAGUCUGUCCUAUUACAAGUUUCGGUUUCUUAGGACGAAACGAAACCAAAAUUUUGACAAAAGGGGUCAGAUAUUGCUGGUUAUGUGAGUUUAUAGUUCUUUUUGUCUGAGAAGAGAUUCAGAAACAUAUGAACUUAAGGUCUUUGUUGCUGCCAGCAAUCUGAUAUCUGCCCUCUUAGCUUAUGGCAAUAACAAGAUUGUUCCUUUAUAGAUACUGAUUUUCCCGAGUUCAA
Tarenaya hassleriana is the source of this 782-nucleotide long non-coding RNA. RefSeq lists it as uncharacterized. The transcript has 2 exons. The record is from RefSeq and is a predicted model, not a curated record. Lineage: Eukaryota; Viridiplantae; Streptophyta; Magnoliopsida; Brassicales; Cleomaceae.